RNAcentral lists this ribosomal RNA (440 nucleotides) under uncultured bacterium. Its description in RNAcentral is "partial 16S ribosomal RNA". It matches the Rfam family "Bacterial small subunit ribosomal RNA", at positions 338 to 795 of the family's 1533-position model. The record is from RNAcentral.
CCUACGGGCGGCAGCAGUGGGGAAUAUUGCACAAUGGGGGCAACCCUGAUGCAGCGACGCCGCGUGAGUGAAGAAGUAAUUCGUUAUGUAAAGCUCUAUCAGCAGGGAAGAAAGUGACGGUACCUGAGUCAGAAGCCCCGGCUAACUCCGUGCCAGCAGCCGCGGUAAUACGGAGGGUGAGAGCGUUAUCCGGAUUUACUGGGUGUAAAGGGAGCGUAGACGGCAGUGCAAGUAUGGAGUGAAAGGCGGGGGCUCAACCCCCGGACUGCUCUGGAAACUGGACGGCUGGAGUGCAGGAGAGGUAAGUAGAAUUCCUAGUGUAGCGGUGAAAUGCGUAGAGAUUAGGAGGAACACCAGUGGCGAAGGCGGCUUACUGGACUGAAACUGACGUUGAGGCGCGAAAGCGUGGGGAGCAAACAGGAUUAGAUACCCUUGUAGUC